Molecule: ribosomal RNA, 449 nt
Filed under: uncultured bacterium
Lineage: Bacteria
Description: partial 16S ribosomal RNA
Rfam family: Bacterial small subunit ribosomal RNA
Source: RNAcentral
AACGAACGCUGGCGGCAUGCCUAACACAUGCAAGUCGAACGAGACCUUCGGGUCUAGUGGCGCACGGGUGCAUAACGCGUGGGAAUCUACCCUUGGGUUCGGAAUAACAGUUAGAAAUGACUGCUAAUACCGGAUGAUGACGUAAGUCCAAAGAUUUAUCGCCCAAGGAUGAGCCCGCGUAAGAUUAGCUUGUUGGUGGGGUAAUGGCCUACCAAAGCGACGAUCUUUAGCUGGUCUGAGAGGAUGAUCAGCCACACUGGGACUGAGACACGGCCCAGACUCCUACGGGAGGCAGCAGUGGGGAAUAUUGGACAAUGGGCGAAAGCCUGAUCCAGCAAUGCCGCGUGAGUGAUGAAGGCCUUAGGGUUGUAAAGCUCUUUUACCAGGGAUGAUAAUGACAGUACCUGGAGAAUAAGCUCCGGCUAACUCCGUGCCAGCCGCCGCAGUAA